UACGGAGGGUGCGAGCGUUGUCCGGAAUCACUGGGCGUAAAGGGCGCGUAGGCGGCGCGGAUAGUCGGCGGUGAAAGCCCGGAGCUCAACUCCGGGUCGGCCGUCGAUACUUCCGGGCUUGAGCACUGUAGAGGCAGAUGGAAUUCCGGGUGUAGCGGUGGAAUGCGUAGAGAUCCGGAAGAACACCGGUGGCGAAGGCGGCUCUCUGGGACGGUACUGACGCUGAGACGCGAAAGCGUGGGGAGGCGAACGG
This 253-nucleotide ribosomal RNA is filed under the name uncultured bacterium. Its description in RNAcentral is "partial 16S ribosomal RNA". It matches the Rfam family "Bacterial small subunit ribosomal RNA", at positions 524 to 775 of the family's 1533-position model. The record is from RNAcentral.